Molecule: ribosomal RNA, 470 nt
Filed under: uncultured bacterium
Lineage: Bacteria
Description: SSU rRNA
Rfam family: Bacterial small subunit ribosomal RNA
Source: RNAcentral
AGGACGAACGCUGGCGGCGUGCUUAACACAUGCAAGUCGAGCGGAAAGGCCCUUCGGGGUACUCGAGCGGCGAACGGGUGAGUAACACGUGAGCAACCUGCCCCUGGCUCUGGGAUAGCCUCCGGAAACGGGGAUUAAUACCGGACAUUCACUUCCUUCCGCAUGGUUGGUGGUGGAAAGUUUUUCGGCCGGGGAGGGGCUCGCGGUCUAUCAGCUUGUUGGCGGGGUAACGGCCCACCAAGGCGACGACGGAUAGCCGGCCUGAGAGGGCGAUCGGCCACACUGGGACUGAGACACGGCCCAGACUCCUACGGGAGGCAGCAGUGGGGAAUAUUGCACAAUGGGCGCAAGCCUGAUGCAGCGACGCCGCGUGGGGGAUGAAGGCCUUCGGGUUGUAAACCCUUUCACCAGGAGCGAAUUCAGACGGUACCUGGGGAAGAAGCGCCGGCUAACUACGCGCCAGCAGCCGC